CAUAAUCCGCGGCGAUUCGGUGGAGGCUCGGUACAGCAUCGGGCCUCCAGGGAACACGGUGCGGGGCAACCCAAUUCCGUGGCGGGCCCGCCGCUGUAACCGGGGACGACGCUUGCACGAUGCCACUGAGGUAACGCUCGGGAAGGCGCAAGCCAAGGACGAUCCGGGAGCCAGAAGACCGACCGAUGAAUUUCAUAAGCC
This 201-nucleotide non-coding RNA is filed under the name Rhodocyclales bacterium. Lineage: Bacteria; Pseudomonadati; Pseudomonadota; Betaproteobacteria; Rhodocyclales. The record is from RNAcentral.